GACAGAGGUCCCGAGCGUUAGGCGGAAUCACUGGGCUUAAAGCGUGUGUAGGCGGAUCGUUAAGUGCCUUGUGAAAUCCCAUGGCUUAACCAUGGAACUGCUUGGCAUACUGGCGGUCUUGAGCCACUUAGGGGCAACCGGAACAAAUGGUGGAGCGGUGAAAUGCGUAGAUAUCAUUUGGAACGCCAAUGGUGAAAACAGGUUGCUGGGAGUGUGCUGACGCUGAGACACGAAAGCCAGGGGAGCAAACGGG
Molecule: ribosomal RNA, 253 nt
Filed under: uncultured bacterium
Lineage: Bacteria
Description: partial 16S ribosomal RNA
Rfam family: Bacterial small subunit ribosomal RNA
Source: RNAcentral